This 367-nucleotide transfer-messenger RNA is filed under the name Hyphomonadaceae bacterium. It matches the Rfam family "Alphaproteobacteria transfer-messenger RNA". Rfam says of the family: Bacterial tmRNA, also known as 10Sa RNA or SsrA, is named for its dual tRNA and mRNA-like properties. Its role is to liberate the mRNA from a stalled ribosome. The record is from RNAcentral. Lineage: Bacteria; Pseudomonadati; Pseudomonadota; Alphaproteobacteria; Hyphomonadales; Hyphomonadaceae.
CUUCUUUCUUUCUUCACAUACCCUCCCUAUAUUAAGGGGGCUGGCUUGCCAGCUAUGACGAUAAACGCCCGUAUAAUAAGCAGGCUGGACCCGGGGGCGGUACCCGGCGGCUCCACCACAAGGGUUUGGAAACCGGAUUUCUGAACCUUUCUGAUGGGGCCGAAAUAGGAUCGACAGAUGUCUAAAAACGUAAGCUUUCGUCCGGAUUGGUAUCGUUAAAUGCCUACUAGUAUAGUUGCAAAUGACAACAAUGCUGAAGAGUUUGCUCUCGCUGCGUAAUGCGGUGCGAUAAACUCGCUUUUAACUCCAUAGCCCAUUAGCCGGCUAUGGCGGGCUUCGGGGGUAGCUGGCAACAGAAACCCCCACC